UUUUUCUCUGAAUUGGCCGAUGGAAGGGAGGUUUUUGUUGAGGGGAGAGUGGCAGAGUCCUCACUGUGGCUCACUUUCGGCCAGGGCACCAAGCUGGAGAUCAAACGAGCUCAGGCUCAGCCAUCUGCCUACAUCUUCCCGCCAAAUGAGGAGCAGUUGCGGUCUGGAACCGCCACUGUCGUGUGCAUGAUAAACGGCUUCUACCCCGAAGAGAUCGAUGUCAAGUGGAAGGUGGAUGGUGCUGUCCGAACAAAUGAUGUCCAGAACACUCUCACGGAGCAGAACAGCGAGGACAACACCUAUAGCCUCAGCAGCACCCUGACGUUGCCCUCUACAGAGUACAGCCGGCACAAUCUCUAUACCUGUGAGGUCACUCAUCAGAGCCUGGGCUCGCCCCUCAGCAAGAGCUUCAAUAAGCAAGAGUGUUAGAGGGAGAUGCCCCCCAGGCCCAGACUGGGCUCCUCCCUUCCUUAGGCCUUGGGCCUUUUUCCCCCUGCAAGGGACCUACCCCUAGUGCACUCCUCCAGCCCCUCUCCCUGCCUCAUACCCCCUCCUCCUCCUCCUUGGCUUCAAUCAUGCUAAUACUUGGGGGGGGGGAUG
Non-coding RNA from Microcebus murinus (gray mouse lemur), 600 nucleotides. Lineage: Eukaryota; Metazoa; Chordata; Mammalia; Primates; Cheirogaleidae. The record is from the annotation of a RefSeq genome assembly.